This 472-nucleotide ribosomal RNA is filed under the name uncultured Haloquadratum sp. RNAcentral describes it as "bacterial SSU rRNA". It matches the Rfam family "Archaeal small subunit ribosomal RNA", at positions 54 to 526 of the family's 1478-position model. Lineage: Archaea; Methanobacteriati; Methanobacteriota; Halobacteria; Halobacteriales; Haloferacaceae. The record is from RNAcentral.
CUAGUCGUGCGAGUUCAGACUCGCGGCACCGAGCUCAGUAACACGUGGCCAAACUACCCUACAGAGACGGAUACCCUCGGGAAACUGAGGUUAACCCGUCAUAUCGAUCUCAGGCUUGAAUCGCAGAGAUCACAAAACGCCCCGGCGCUGUAGGAUGUGGCUGCGGUUGAUUAGGUAGACGGUGGGGUAACGGCCCACCGUGCCCAUAAUCAGUACAGGUUGUGAGAGCAAGAACCUGGAGACGGAAUCUGAGACAAGAUUCCGGGCCCUACGGGGCGCAGCAGGCGCGAAACCUUUACACUGCACGCACGUGCGAUAAGGGGACUCCGAGUGCGAGGGCAUAUCGUCCUCGCUUUCGUGUACCGUAGGGUGGUACACCAACAAGGGCUGGGCAAGACCGGUGCCAGCCGCCGCGGUAAUACCGGCAGCCCGAGUGAUGGCCGAUCUUAUUGGGCCUAAAGCGUCCGUAGCU